RNAcentral lists this ribosomal RNA (521 nucleotides) under uncultured bacterium. RNAcentral describes it as "partial 16S ribosomal RNA". It matches the Rfam family "Bacterial small subunit ribosomal RNA", at positions 29 to 523 of the family's 1533-position model. The record is from RNAcentral.
AAUGAACGCUGGCGGCGUGCUUAACACAUGCAAGUCGUACGAGAAACCCCGGCUUGCCGGGGGAGUAAAGUGGCGCACGGGUGAGUAACGCGUGGGUAAUCUACCCUCGAAUUGGGGAUAACACACCGAAAGGUGUGCUAAUACCGAAUAAGACCACGACCUCCACGGGGGUUGCGGUCAAAGAUGGCCUCUGCUUGCAAGCUGUCGUUUGAGGAUGAGCCCGCGUACCAUUAGCUUGUUGGUGGGGUAAUGGCCUACCAAGGCAACGAUGGUUAGCUGGUCUGAGAGGAUGGCCAGCCACACUGGAACUGGAACACGGUCCAGACUCCUACGGGAGACAGCAGUGAGGAAUUUUGCGCAAUGGGGGAAACCCUGACGCAGCAACGCCGCGUGAGUGAAGAAGGCCUUCGGGUUGUAAAGCUCUGUCAAGUGGGAAGAACCUUUUUCGGCCGAAUACGCCGAGAAACUGACGGUACCGCUGAAAGAAGCACCGGCUAACUCCGUGCCAGCAGCCGCGGUAA